RNAcentral lists this ribosomal RNA (492 nucleotides) under uncultured bacterium. RNAcentral describes it as "partial 16S ribosomal RNA". It matches the Rfam family "Bacterial small subunit ribosomal RNA", at positions 29 to 507 of the family's 1533-position model. The record is from RNAcentral.
AGUGAACGCUGGCGGUAGGCCUAACACAUGCAAGUCGAACGGCACCACAGUAAGAGCUUGCUCUUACGGGUGGCGAGUGGCGGACGGGUGAGGAAUACAUCGGAAUCUACUUUUUCGUGGGGGAUAACGUAGGGAAACUUACGCUAAUACCGCAUACGACCUACGGGUGAAAGCAGGGGAUCUUCGGACCUUGCGCGAUUGAAUGAGCCGAUGUCGGAUUAGCUAGUUGGCGGGGUAAAGGGCCACCAAGGCGACGAUCCGUAGCUGGUCUGAGAGGAUGAUCAGCCACACUGGAACUGAGACACGGUCCAGACUCCUACGGGAGGCAGCAGUGGGGAAUAUUGGACAAUGGGCGCAAGCCUGAUCCAGCCAUACCGCGUGGGUGAAGAAGGCCUUCGGGUUGUAAAGCCCUUUUGUUGGGAAAGAAAAGCAGCAGGUUAAUACCCCGCUGUUCUGACGGUACCCAAAGAAUAAGCACCGGCUAACUUCGUG